This 141-nucleotide ribosomal RNA is filed under the name uncultured eukaryote. RNAcentral's name for it is "partial 18S ribosomal RNA". It matches the Rfam family "Eukaryotic small subunit ribosomal RNA", at positions 1299 to 1458 of the family's 1831-position model. The record is from RNAcentral.
UGGUGGAGUGAUUUGUCUGGUUAAUUCCGUUAACGAACGAGACCUCGACCUACUAAAUAGUUGACUAAACUCUUCGGGGUUUGGAUUAGCUUCUUAGAGGGACUUUUGGUGAGUAGCCAAAGGAAGUUCGAGGCAAUAACA